GGAUGCGAUCAUACCAGCACUAAAGCACCGGAUCACAUCAAAAUUCUGAAGUUAAGUGUGCUUGGGCGAGAGUAGUAUUAGGAUGAGUGACCUCCUCGGAAGUCCUCGUGUUGCAUUCG
Molecule: ribosomal RNA, 119 nt
Filed under: Zea mays
Lineage: Eukaryota; Viridiplantae; Streptophyta; Magnoliopsida; Poales; Poaceae
Source: RNAcentral